CCUGCCCCUAGAAGUAUUGCAGGUAUGGCUGCUGUGUCGUAUGUGUGAUGGUAGGUGGCAGAGAGAAGAGAGACUAUGUCUAUGCUCACCUGAAUGUAGGGGUUGUAGGUGAGACAGUCCCUGAUG
Molecule: small nucleolar RNA, 126 nt
Organism: Apodemus sylvaticus (European woodmouse)
Lineage: Eukaryota; Metazoa; Chordata; Mammalia; Rodentia; Muridae
Product: small nucleolar RNA SNORA17
Exons: 1
Source: RefSeq, a predicted model, not a curated record